RNAcentral lists this ribosomal RNA (429 nucleotides) under Bacillota bacterium. Its description in RNAcentral is "Firmicutes bacterium partial 16S ribosomal RNA". It matches the Rfam family "Bacterial small subunit ribosomal RNA", at positions 355 to 776 of the family's 1533-position model. Lineage: Bacteria; Bacillati; Bacillota. The record is from RNAcentral.
UAGGGAAUCUUCGGCAAUGGACGGAAGUCUGACCGAGCAACGCCGCGUGAGUGAAGAAGGUUUUCGGAUCGUAAAGCUCUGUUGUUAGAGAAGAACGUUGGUAGGAGUGGAAAAUCUACCAAGUGACGGUAACUAACCAGAAAGGGACGGCUAACUACGUGCCAGCAGCCGCGGUAAUACGUAGGUCCCGAGCGUUGUCCGGAUUUAUUGGGCGUAAAGCGCGCCCAAGCGGUUCUUUAAGUCUGAAGUUAAAGGCAGUGGCUUAACCAUUGUACGCUUUGGAAACUGGAGGACUUGAGUGCAGAAGAGGAGAGUGUAAUUCCAUGUGUAGCGGUGAAAUGCGUAGAUAUAUGGAGGAACACCGGUGGCGAAAGGGGCUCUCUGGUCAGUAACUGACGCUGAGGCUCGAAAGCGUGGGGAGCGAACAGG